UACGUAGGGUGCAGGCGUUAAUCGGAAUUACUGGGCGUAAAGCGUGCGCAGGCGGUUUUCCAAGACAGAUGUGAAAUCCCCGGGCUCAACCUGGGAAUGGCAUUUGUGACUGGAAGGCUAGAGUGUGUCAGAGGGGGGGUAGAAUUCCACGUGUAGCAGUGAAAUGCGUAGAGAUGUGGAGGAAUACCGAUGGCGAAGGCAGCCCCCUGGGAUAACACUGACGCUCAUGCACGAAAGCGUGGGGAGCAAACAGG
This 254-nucleotide ribosomal RNA is filed under the name uncultured bacterium. RNAcentral's name for it is "partial 16S ribosomal RNA". It matches the Rfam family "Bacterial small subunit ribosomal RNA", at positions 524 to 776 of the family's 1533-position model. The record is from RNAcentral.